Finegoldia magna ATCC 53516 is the source of this 90-nucleotide non-coding RNA. NCBI's taxonomy places the organism in Bacteria, Bacillati, Bacillota, Tissierellia, Tissierellales, Peptoniphilaceae. The record is from Rfam.
UACAGAGUAGGGUUGAUGCGUUUAGUGUAAUGGGAUAGGGAGUUGCCCAUUAACGAAAUUAUUGCGAUAUCAAUGCCGCUUCCGCUGAUA